Molecule: small RNA, 1033 nt
Filed under: Pongo abelii (Sumatran orangutan)
Lineage: Eukaryota; Metazoa; Chordata; Mammalia; Primates; Hominidae
Description: processed transcript
Source: RNAcentral
GGGCUCCCAGCGCUAUAAAAACUUUAUAAACCCCCCGGAGCCCGAGCAGUGUGAAGAAGAAGAGGCAAGAACGACCCCCGGACCGACCAAAGCCCGCGCGCCGCUGCAUCCCGCGUCCAGCACCUACGUCCCGCCGCCGUCGCCGCCGCCACCAUGCCCAAGAGAAAGGCUGAAGGGGAUGCUAAGGGAGAUAAAGCCAAGGUGAAAGACGAAGUAAGUUAUUAUCUCUUCAAGGGUCAAAGCCUUGGACUAGCAGAGGCUACUGGACUCGGUGAUUAACCGUAACCUGUGUCCUGAAUUUACACUUCUAUAAUCUAGAGCAAAUUGAUACCAAACUUUCAAAGCGACUUACCUGUCCUAUUUCUAACUUUCUCGUUGUCUUUAAUAGCCACAGAGAAGAUCCGCGAGGUUGUCUGCUGUAAGUGUAUGCUUUUGAAUUUUCGUAUUUGUCCCUGAAACUAAAAAACAUCAAAAAACAAUUCCCUUUGCUUCCCAUGAAUCAUGGUUAGUGCCUGGUUUUGAAUCAUUGCCUCUACUUGGGACUCUUGCUCCUUUGGGUUUUGCUGGCUCUGAAAUUCUGAUGCCUGUAGCCAAAGUGGGACAUUUGAGUGGGCUUCUGGAGAUCCAACAUUCUAGAAGAAAGCCAACCACCAAAACUUUGAGGAGGAGGAAAAACUUCUCUACCCUUGGUACUUUUGGUUGGUUGUGGGUGGUUUUCUUCAGUCCAUUGUGCUGAUGUUCACUUUUUCCUCUCUUCCUGCCAAAAAAAGAAACCUGCUCCUCCAAAGCCAGAGCCCAAGCCUAAAAAGGCCCCUGCAAAGAAGGGAGAGAAGGUACCCAAAGGGAAAAAGGGAAAAGCUGAUGCUGGCAAGGAGGGGAAUAACCCUGCAGAAAAUGGAGAUGCCAAAACAGACCAGGCACAGAAAGCUGAAGGUGCUGGAGAUGCCAAGUGAAGUGUGUGCAUUUUUGAUAACUGUGUACUUCUGGUGACUGUACAGUUUGAAAUACUAUUUUUUAUCAAGUUUUAUAAAAA